UACGGGGGGGGCAAGCGUUGUUCGGAAUCACUGGGCGUAAAGCGCACGUAGGCGGAUCUUUAAGUCAGGGGUGAAAUCCCGAGGCUCAACCUCGGAACUGCCUUUGAUACUGGGGAUCUCGAGUCCGGGAGAGGUGAGUGGAACUGCGAGUGUAGAGGUGAAAUUCGUAGAUAUUCGGAGGAACACCAGUGGCGAAGGCGGCUCACUGGCCCGGUACUGACGCUGAGGUGCGAAAGCGUGGGGAGCAAACAGG
Molecule: ribosomal RNA, 253 nt
Filed under: uncultured bacterium
Lineage: Bacteria
Description: partial 16S ribosomal RNA
Rfam family: Bacterial small subunit ribosomal RNA
Source: RNAcentral